GAUGAACGCUGGCGGCGUGCCUAAUACAUGCAAGUCGAGCGAACAGACGAGGAGCUUGCUCCUCUGACGUUAGCGGCGGACGGGUGAGUAACACGUGGAUAACCUACCUAUAAGACUGGGAUAACUUCGGGAAACCGGAGCUAAUACCGGAUAAUAUAUUGAACCGCAUGGUUCAAUAGUGAAAGACGGUUUUGCUGUCACUUAUAGAUGGAUCCGCGCCGCAUUAGCUAGUUGGUAAGGUAACGGCUUACCAAGGCAACGAUGCGUAGCCGACCUGAGAGGGUGAUCGGCCACACUGGAACUGAGACAAGGUCCAGACUCCUACGGGAGGCAGCAGUAGGGAAUCUUCCGCAAUGGGCGAAAGCCUGACGGAGCAACGCCGCGUGAGUGAUGAAGGUCUUCGGAUCGUAAAACUCUGUUAUUAGGGAAGAACAAAUGUGUAAGUAACUAUGCACGUCUUGACGGUACCUAAUCAGAAAGCCACGGCUAACUACGU
RNAcentral lists this ribosomal RNA (496 nucleotides) under uncultured bacterium. RNAcentral's name for it is "partial 16S ribosomal RNA". It matches the Rfam family "Bacterial small subunit ribosomal RNA", at positions 28 to 506 of the family's 1533-position model. The record is from RNAcentral.